GACGAACGCUGGCGGCGUGCCUAAUACAUGCAAGUUGAGCGAUGAAGCUUGGUGCUUGCACCAAUUUGAAGAGCAGCGAACGGGUGAGUAACGCGUGGGGAAUCUGCCUUUGAGCGGGGGACAACAUUUGGAAACGAAUGCUAAUACCGCAUAACAACUUUAAACAUAAGUUUUAAGUUUGAAAGAUGCAAUUGCAUCACUCAAAGAUGAUCCCGCGUUGUAUUAGCUAGUUGGUGAGGUAAAGGCUCACCAAGGCGAUGAUACAUAGCCGACCUGAGAGGGUGAGCGGCCACAUUGGGACUGAGACACGGCCCAAACGCCUACGGGAGGCAGCAGUAGGGAAUCUUCGGCAAUGGACGAAAGUCUGACCGAGAAACGCCGAGGGAGUGAAGAAGGUUUUCGGAUCGUAAAACUCUGUUGGUAGAGAAGAACGUUGGUGAGAGUGGAAAGCUCAUCAAGUGACGGUAACUACUCAGAAAGGGACGGCUAACUACGUG
Molecule: ribosomal RNA, 497 nt
Filed under: uncultured bacterium
Lineage: Bacteria
Description: partial 16S ribosomal RNA
Rfam family: Bacterial small subunit ribosomal RNA
Source: RNAcentral